UAUAGCGCCAAUUCAUAACAGAAGUUAUCUCAGGACACUUUUCAAAUAGAGUAGGUCUAGACCGAACUCUUUAACAUUAAUUACAGAGACCCAACAGUACCACCAUGAGCAA
Molecule: long non-coding RNA, 112 nt
Organism: Dicentrarchus labrax (European seabass)
Lineage: Eukaryota; Metazoa; Chordata; Actinopteri; Moronidae
Exons: 2
Source: RefSeq, a predicted model, not a curated record